This 119-nucleotide ribosomal RNA is filed under the name Pteropus alecto (black flying fox). Lineage: Eukaryota; Metazoa; Chordata; Mammalia; Chiroptera; Pteropodidae. The record is from RNAcentral.
GUCUACAGCCAUGCCACCCUGAACGAGCCCCAUUCCGUCUGAUCUUGGAAACUAAGGAGGGUUGGGCCUGGUUAGUACUUGAAUGGGAGAUCAUCUAGGAAGACCAGGUUUUGUAGGCA